AUUGAACGCUGGCGGCAGGCCUAACACAUGCAAGUCGAGCGGAUGAAGGGAGCUUGCUCCUGGAUUCAGCGGCGGACGGGUGAGUAAUGCCUAGGAAUCUGCCUGGUAGUGGGGGAUAACGUCCGGAAACGGGCGCUAAUACCGCAUACGUCCUGAGGGAGAAAGUGGGGGAUCUUCGGACCUCACGCUAUCAGAUGAGCCUAGGUCGGAUUAGCUAGUUGGUGGGGUAAAGGCCUACCAAGGCGACGAUCCGUAACUGGUCUGAGAGGAUGAUCAGUCACACUGGAGCUGAGACACGGUCCAGACUCCUACGGGAGGCAGCAGUGGGGAAUAUUGGACAAUGGGCGAAAGCCUGAUCCAGCCAUGCCGCGUGUGUGAAGAAGGUCUUCGGAUUGUAAAGCACUUUAAGUUGGGAGGAAGGGCAGUAAGUUAAUACCUUGCUGUUUUGACGUUACCAACAGGAUAAGCACCGGCUAACUUCGUG
This 484-nucleotide ribosomal RNA is filed under the name uncultured bacterium. Its description in RNAcentral is "partial 16S ribosomal RNA". It matches the Rfam family "Bacterial small subunit ribosomal RNA", at positions 30 to 507 of the family's 1533-position model. The record is from RNAcentral.